GACGAACGCUGGCGGCGUGCUUAACACAUGCAAGUCGAACGGUAAGGCCCUUCGCUUGCCCCGGGUGGCUGAGGGGCGAGCGAGUGGUUAAUAAGUUGCUCUCCUGCUCGGGAUACUGGUGUGAACCUGGGACUCAUGCUCUAAUUCCAGAUACUGCCGCCCAGUGCGGGGUGGUGUGUUUAUAGGUGUUGGAUGGGCCCGCGGCCUAUCAGCUUGUUGGUGGGGUAAUGGCCUACCAAGGCGACGACGGGUAGCCGGCCUGAGAGGGUGAUCGGCCACACUGGGACUGAGACACGGCCCAGACUCCUACGGGAGGCAGCAGUGGGGAAUAUUGCACAAUGGGCGGAAGCCUGAUGCAGCGACGCCGCGUGAGGGAUGACGGUCUUCGGAUUGUAAACCCCUUUCAGUAGGGACGAAGCGAGAGUGACGGUACCUGCAGAAGAAGCACCGGCCAACUACGUG
RNAcentral lists this ribosomal RNA (462 nucleotides) under uncultured bacterium. Its description in RNAcentral is "partial 16S ribosomal RNA". It matches the Rfam family "Bacterial small subunit ribosomal RNA", at positions 28 to 507 of the family's 1533-position model. The record is from RNAcentral.